UCGAGAAUUUUGGGCAAUGGGGGCAACCCUGACCCAGCAAUGCCGCGUGCGGGAUGAAGGUCUUCGGAUUGUAAACCGCUGUCAAGAGGGACGAAUACAAUUGACGGUACCUCUGGAGGAAGUCACGGCUAACUACGUGCCAGCAGCCGCGGUAAUACGUAGGUGACAAGCGUUGUUCGGAUUCAUUGGGCGUAAAGGGUCCGCAGGUGGUUUGAUAAGUCUGACGUGAAAUACCGGAGCUCAACUCCGGAACUGCGUUGGAGACUGUUGAACUGGAGUAUCGGAGAGGAAAUUGGAAUUCCAGGUGUAGCGGUGGAAUGCGUAGAUAUCUGGAAGAACAUCGACAGCGAAGGCAGAUUUCUGGACGAUAACUGACACUCAGGGACGAAAGCAUGGGGAGCAAACAGGAUUAGAUACCCUGGUAGU
This 426-nucleotide ribosomal RNA is filed under the name uncultured Victivallis sp. Its description in RNAcentral is "bacterial SSU rRNA". It matches the Rfam family "Bacterial small subunit ribosomal RNA", at positions 355 to 794 of the family's 1533-position model. Lineage: Bacteria; Pseudomonadati; Lentisphaerota; Lentisphaeria; Victivallales; Victivallaceae. The record is from RNAcentral.